AGAAUUUUUCUCAAUGGGGGAAACCCUGAAGGAGCGACGCCGCGUGGAGGAUGAAGGUCUUCGGAUUGUAAACUCCUGUCAUUGGUGAACAAGGUCCCGCGGAGUAACUGCCGAGGGGAUUGAUAGUAGCCGAAGCGGACGAGACGGCUAACUCUGUGCCGGCAGCCGCGGUAAUACAGAGGUCUCAAGCGUUGUUCGGAUUCCUUGGGCGUAAAGGGUGCGUAGGUGGCGAGGUAAGUCUGGUGUGAAAUCCCGGGGCUCAACCCUGGAACUGCACUGGAUACUGCCCUGCUAGAGGACUGGAGAGGAGACUGGAAUUUACGGUGUAGCAGUGAAAUGCGUAGAUAUCGUAAGGAAGACCAGUGGCGAAGGCGAGUCUCUGGACAGUUACUGACACUGAGGCACGAAGGCCAGGGGAGCAA
This 422-nucleotide ribosomal RNA is filed under the name uncultured bacterium. RNAcentral's name for it is "bacterial SSU rRNA". It matches the Rfam family "Bacterial small subunit ribosomal RNA", at positions 358 to 771 of the family's 1533-position model. The record is from RNAcentral.